AGUAUAACAAUGAGUGUGUUUUACUGAAACACAGAAAAUUAUUUCAAGAUGGGGUUGACCAUUGUUUCCCAAACUUUCAGGAACUGAUCCGUGUAUUACCAGUUCAAAAAGAAAAGGCGGAGGAGAGAAUGGCAGUAGAGUCAUGCUGGCCGGAAGUCACCUGCAAAUGACUCAGGAGCGGCAAGAAGAGGUUUUCUCAUUGAAUUCGCACAAUGACCUUGACAUAUGA
RNAcentral lists this long non-coding RNA (229 nucleotides) under Neogale vison (American mink). RNAcentral describes it as "Neovison vison (American mink) lncRNA (ENSNVIG00000021326.1)". Lineage: Eukaryota; Metazoa; Chordata; Mammalia; Carnivora; Mustelidae. The record is from RNAcentral.